GACGAACGCUGGCGGCGUGCUUAACACAUGCAAGUCGAACGGGCCCGCUCCUUUGGGGGCGGGUUGAGUGGCGAACGGGUGAGUAUCACGUGAGCAACCUGCCCUCCUCUCCUGGAUAACCGCUUGAAAGGGCGGCUAAUACGGGGUGUUCCGGUUGGUCCGCAUGGGCUGGUCGGGAAAGAUUCAUCGUUGUGGUGUUUCGGUGGGGGAUGGGCUCGCGGCCUAUCAGCUUGUUGGUGGGGUGAUGGCCCACCAAGGCGGUGACGGGUAGCCGGCCUGAGAGGGUGGGCGGCCACACUGGGACUGAGACACGGCCCAGACUCCUCGGGAGGCAGCAGUGGGGGGUAUUGCACAAUGGGCGGAAGCCUGAUGCAGCGACGUCGCGUGAGGGAUGGAGGCCUUCGGGUUGUGAACCUCUUUCUCCGGUGGUGAAGGCCCCGCCCUUCGUG
RNAcentral lists this ribosomal RNA (449 nucleotides) under Actinomyces sp. oral taxon E91. RNAcentral's name for it is "bacterial SSU rRNA". It matches the Rfam family "Bacterial small subunit ribosomal RNA", at positions 28 to 465 of the family's 1533-position model. Lineage: Bacteria; Bacillati; Actinomycetota; Actinomycetes; Actinomycetales; Actinomycetaceae. The record is from RNAcentral.